This 195-nucleotide long non-coding RNA is filed under the name Fukomys damarensis (Damara mole-rat). RNAcentral describes it as "lncRNA (ENSFDAG00000025031.1)". The record is from RNAcentral. Lineage: Eukaryota; Metazoa; Chordata; Mammalia; Rodentia; Bathyergidae.
AGCAGGUGCCAACAACCAUCGUGUCAGAAGACAGAGCAGAUGUUGGGUACCUGGAAUGACGGAGGGCUUCUGGGAAGCCUGGAGCAGGCUUGGUUCCCAGAGGAGAAGGACAGAUUCCAGUGGAAGCCGACAGACCCUGAAGAGGCUCCGGCCCCCAAAGGGAGAUGACCUGGCCUGGGGGUAGGAGAAACAGCC